Molecule: ribosomal RNA, 476 nt
Filed under: uncultured bacterium
Lineage: Bacteria
Description: partial 16S ribosomal RNA
Rfam family: Bacterial small subunit ribosomal RNA
Source: RNAcentral
AUUGAACGCUGGCGGCAUGCCUACACAUGCAAGUCGAACGGUAACAGGUUAAGCUGACGAGUGGCGAACGGGUGAGUAAUGUAUCGGAACGUGCCCAGUCGUGGGGGAUAACUGCUCGAAAGAGCAGCUAAUACCGCAUACGACCUGAGGGUGAAAGCGGGGGAUCGCAAGACCUCGCGCGAUUGGAGCGGCCGAUAUCAGAUUAGGUAGUUGGUGAGGUAAAGGCUCACCAAGCCGACGAUCUGUAGCUGGUCUGAGAGGACGACCAGCCACACUGGGACUGAGACACGGCCCAGACUCCUACGGGAGGCAGCAGUGGGGAAUUUUGGACAAUGGGCGCAAGCCUGAUCCAGCCAUGCCGCGUGCGGGAAGAAGGCCUUCGGGUUGUAAACCGCUUUUGUCAGGGAAGAAAAGGUUCUGGCUAAUACCUGGGACUCAUGACGGUACCUGAAGAAUAAGCACCGGCUAACUACGUG